GAUGAAGAACGUAGCGAAAUGCGAUACGUAGUGUGAAUUGCAGAAUUCAGUGAAUCAUCGAAUCUUUGAACGCACAUUGCACCUCUCGGUAUUCCGGGAGGUAUGCCUGUUCGAGCGUCAUUUGUACCCUCAAGCUCUGCUUGGUGUUGGGUGUUUGUUCCGCCUCUGUGUGUGAACUCGCCUCAAAACAAUUGGCAGCCGGCGUACUUGUUUCGGAGCGCAGCACAUUUUGCGAUCCAGAUCAACGUACAGCGGCAUCCAAGAAGCCUUAUUUAAAGCUCUUGACCUCGGAUCAGGUAGGGAUACCCGCUGAACUUAAGCAUAUCAAUAAGCGGAGGA
Molecule: unclassified non-coding RNA, 339 nt
Filed under: soil metagenome
Description: partial contains 5.8S ribosomal RNA, internal transcribed spacer 2, and large subunit ribosomal RNA
Rfam family: 5.8S ribosomal RNA (bases 1-120)
Source: RNAcentral